RNAcentral lists this ribosomal RNA (570 nucleotides) under Triticum aestivum (bread wheat). Its description in RNAcentral is "partial small subunit ribosomal RNA". The record is from RNAcentral. Lineage: Eukaryota; Viridiplantae; Streptophyta; Magnoliopsida; Poales; Poaceae.
AUGCAAAAUGCUUUACGAAGUACAAUGCCCCACACCCGUCAUAGGUGGUGCAGAUGGCAUGUGUUAAAGGUCUUGAAAGAGAAAAUUGGACACGUGUACAACAAACAUUCUGCCUUCAAGAAGGAAUUCCACGCAUUUGAGCGAAAGUGGCAUCAAUUGAUUAAAAAAUACAAACUUCAAGGAAACAAGUACCUUCGCAGGAUUUUCAAGUGGAGGGACAUGUGGGCAAUGCCAUACUUCAUGGGCACAUUCUGUGCCGGGAUGACCAGCACGCAACGGAGCGAGAGUGCGAAUCAUCUCCUCAAAAAGUUCAUCAGCAGAUCAUCCCCAAUGCACUUGUUUGUUAAGCAGUACAACAAAUUGCUUGAUUCCAGGAGCCAGGCAGAAGACGAGGCAAAUUAUGUCAGCAAGCAGACACGCAGGCGGCUUGUAAUUGGCGCUACUAUCGAGAUAGAUGCAGCAGCUGUGUACACGAAGGCUUUGUACAAAAAAAAUUCACACGAACUUUUUAGAACAGGCUCAUUUGAUGCACACCGUUCCAAGCCUGGACACGUCUACAAGGUCAAAUUG